UUGCCGUGGAUCCUUAUGGAAGACAUAACUAUACCCUAUACGGCCCAUCAUGUGGUUUUCACAAACAAUAUACUAAUUAUUUAUUACAAAUAUGAUCCUCCAUCCAGAAGCGGGAUGGCAAGGACCACUUGGGGGUAUCUGUCCUCAUCACAAUCGAUGCUUCAGACUGGAGAGUACAGGAGAUCACUUGUUUCUUUGGGAAGCCACUUACAGAGCAUGUCUUUGCCAUCCC
This 232-nucleotide long non-coding RNA is filed under the name Elaeis guineensis (African oil palm). RNAcentral's name for it is "long non-coding RNA (EGUI_LNC036003)". The record is from RNAcentral. Lineage: Eukaryota; Viridiplantae; Streptophyta; Magnoliopsida; Arecales; Arecaceae.